Non-coding RNA from Armillaria luteobubalina, 92 nucleotides. NCBI's taxonomy places the organism in Eukaryota, Fungi, Basidiomycota, Agaricomycetes, Agaricales, Physalacriaceae. The record is from the annotation of a GenBank genome assembly.
GCUUCCGUGGCUCAGUUGGUUAGAGCGCCAGUCUCAUAUCUUAUAUAUGACCACAGAUCUGGAGGUCACCAGUUCGACCCUGGUCGGGAGCA